RNAcentral lists this RNase P RNA (338 nucleotides) under Candidatus Saccharimonadota bacterium. RNAcentral describes it as "RNase P RNA component class A". It matches the Rfam family "Bacterial RNase P class A". Rfam says of the family: Ribonuclease P (RNase P) is a ubiquitous endoribonuclease, found in archaea, bacteria and eukarya as well as chloroplasts and mitochondria. Its best characterised activity is the generation of mature 5'-ends of tRNAs by cleaving the 5'-leader elements of precursor-tRNAs. Cellular RNase Ps are ribonucleoproteins. The record is from RNAcentral. Lineage: Bacteria; Candidatus Saccharimonadota.
GCAGUCCACUAAGUGAUCGCCCCACAUAGGGGAGGAAAGUCCGGACAGCAUAGGGUAACGGCAGUCGCUAACGGCGACCGGAGGCAACUCUAGGGAAAGUGCCACAGAAACGAAACUACCUAAUAACUUCGGUUUUUGGGAAAAGGUGAAACGAGUGAGGUAAAAGCUCACAGUCGACUAUGGUGACAUAGUAGAGAGGUAAACCCUGCUGGCUGCAAGGAGAUCUGCAUAUCGGGCGACCCGUCCGCAGGUCGACAACCGCUUGACUCGUCUGGCAACGGGCGAGCUAGAUAGAUGGUCACUCACGACAGAAUCCGGCUUAUCGGUGGUCUGCUAAU